UACGGGGGGGGCAAGCGUUGUUCGGAAUUACUGGGCGUAAAGGGCUCGUAGGUGGCCAACUAAGUCAUACGUGAAAUCCCUCGGCUUAACCGGGGAACUGCGCCUGAUACUGGUUGGCUUGAGUUUGGGAGAGGGACGCGGAAUUCCAGGUGUAGCGGUGAAAUGCGUAGAUAUCGGGAAGAACAUCAGUGGCGAAGGCGGUCUGCUGGGCCGUUGCUGACGCUGAGGCGCGACAGCGUGGGGAGCAAACAGG
RNAcentral lists this ribosomal RNA (253 nucleotides) under uncultured bacterium. RNAcentral's name for it is "partial 16S ribosomal RNA". It matches the Rfam family "Bacterial small subunit ribosomal RNA", at positions 524 to 776 of the family's 1533-position model. The record is from RNAcentral.